GGACGAUGCUGAGCGGCACGGGCUCCAGCGGCCUGUAUAAAGCCCCUCUUUCCAAGAGUCUUAUGGUGGUGCUCAGUACUGUGGCCUUUAUUUUAGCUGUGCCAUUUCAGCAAUAUCAGAAUUACUUUGUGUAUAACUUAAAAGCAAUUAAACAAGAGCAUGAAAUAUGGAGAAUUAUCUUUGCCAGGAUUGUUUGCCUUGACCUCAAGGACGUGUUCUGUAGUUGCCUUCUUAUCUACAAUUUUAGAAUUUUUGAAAGAAGAUAUGGCAGCCGAAAAUUUGCAUCCUUCCUUCUGGGCAGCUGGGUGCUGUCUGCACUGAUGGACUUGCUGCUCGUGGAAGCCCUGCAUCAUACGCUUGACAUGUCUGUGAACAUCUUGCCAUCUGGUUUUCUAGGUCCUGUCUUUGGAUUGUUUGUGCCUUUUUACUACUCCAUUCCAAGUGUUCAAGUGACUCAAAUCCUGGGCAGAUUCUCCAUAACAAACAAAACUCUCGUUUAUAUUGUGGGUCUGCAGCUUUUGACUUCCAGUACCAAUAUAUGGAUCUUGGCGUUCAGUGGAUUGCUCUCUGGGAUUAUGUACCAUUGCAAUGUGCUGAAGGUGCAGCAGUUGCUUUACGUGCCCAAGUGGCUGGCCAGAUGUGCCUCGUUUACCCUUGAACCUCUCUUAUCAUCCACUGAUCCCACCCACGAGACUCCCAUAGGAAUGGGUGCAACGCUGGAGAUUCAAAGGCAACAGAGGGCUGAACUCCUGGAUCAACAAAUCAUGCUGGCUCAGCUGAAUCAAAACAACAGGAGGCAUCGUGGGCAGGGUGGUUUGAUUAACUGGGAGAGGCUGUUCCCUCAAAUGCGCAACAGACUUAAUGCUAACAAUCAACAACAAGAUAGUGGACGGAAUAGCCCUUCACCAAGUGCACCAGUUUCUGAAGAGCAGGUGGCAAGACUGAUGGAGAUGGGGUUUUCUCGAGUAGACGCCUUGCAAGCUCUAAGAGCUACAAACAAUGAUCUUAAUAUGGCCACCAACUUCCUGCUCCGCCACUGACAACAGAUGGCUGACUUAAAUGACUUUGUAUCUGACUUCACUGCUGAACAUGGACAUGUUGAGUGGUGCUGCACAACACAAAAGUCAGAAUUAUUUUUGUCAAGAUCUUAAAUCGUACUGGUUAAGGAGAGGGGCUGUUGGUCCUGUCAUUCACGGAGGUCACAGAUCAGCUCUUGUCAGCUCAAGUUGUAAGCAAGAUACAGCAUAAUGAAAGCUAGACCCUGAGCAGGUGUUCCUUAAAGUGAGGAGGAGAGGUUUAAAACUGAACUGCUGGAACUUCACACACCAAAUCGUGGGCUGUGGCUCAAUGGGCCACCGUCUUGUCUCUGGACAGGAGGUCAGGGGCUCAGGGACCCCUCCACUGCAUUGAAGACAAAGUCCUAAACUGAUAGUUCAUCAAAGUACCCUGGGAGUUGUGUACUUUCAGAGGUGCAGUCUUUCAGGUGGAAGGUUACACAGCAGCCUGGUCUAUUACCUUAGAUGGAUGUAAAAGCCCCCAAAACAAUAUUUGAAGGAGUGCAGGGGAGUCCUCCCUGUCAUUCUGACCAACAUCUACUCCUCAACCAGCAUGAACCCUGGUCAUGAUCACAGUGCUGUUUGUGGGAGCUUGCUAUGUGCAAAAUGGCUGCCAUAUUUCCUCCAUUACAACAGAGACUUCUAAAGUACUUGGAGCACUGUGAGACAUUCAGAAAGGGAUAUGAGAAGUGUACUUUCCAUUGACCUAAACCUGCACUCUUGUAAUCCAGAGAUGAUUUGGCUUCCAAUUGCAUGGGCUGCUGUAUGUAAAACAGUUCCAAAUUUUGCAAACAGUUGCUGCGUCAACUUCUGAGAGAUCCUAAUCUCCAUCUCUGCAUGACAUUGAUGGCUGCUGUUCUUUCACUAAUGUGCAACAGGUCUUAGUCUCCCACCAGCCAGUGCUCUCUGACCUACAUUGGCUCCCAAUCUGGCAACACCUCCCAUUUAUCUUCUCACUCUUAUUUUCAAGCCCUUCUUGAGCUCUCCUACCUCCUGCAGCAUUGAGAUCUCUGUGCUCCAACACUGGCUUCCAGUGGAACUUGAUUUUCACCAUCAUUUGGGACGGCACAGCAAGUACUGCUGCUACUGCACGGUGCCAGCGACCCAGAUUCAAUCCCUGUGUGGAGUUUGCACAUCUCCCAGUCACCCCUGGAAGCUCCGAUUUCCUCCCACAUCCCAAGGACAGGAGGUUUGGUAGGAUAAUUGGCUGCUGUAAAUUGCCCCGUGUGGGUGAGUGGGUGGCAGGAGAGUGAGGGGGGUAAGUUGAUGGGAAUGCGAGAGAGAAAUGCUGUGAGAGAGAAAUAAGUGGGGGAAUGACCCUGAGAGCUGGUAAGGAUAGCCUCCUGUGUAAUAAAGAAAUAUGAGGAAGUCACUCCAUCCCUUCAGCUGAGACCCCCCUGAAGUUCCUUCUCUGCCACUCCACCCCUCUCUUCACCUGUUAAGAAGAACCAGCAGCAGGGGAAUUGAACGACGAGCACAGUCUGUAACCUCAUGCCUCAGCACACCCCUCUCCACUGUUUCAAUCCAACAAGGGAUCAGUGUUGAUGCCAUGAGUGGUGUAGAAGGUCACGCCAAGAGCAGCACUAAGUAGACCUAAAACUGAAGUGCUGAGCUGGGGGUACACCAACUCAGGACAGCAUAUGUGGUGUGCAUUGUGUAUCUGUCUGUCUGUGUCUGUCUGUGCCUGUCUGUGUGCCUCUGUGUGUGCGUGUGUGUCUGCCUGUUUGUCUGUCUGUGUGUGUCUGUCUCUCCGUCUCUGUCUGUCUGUCUGUGUCUGCAUGUGUGUGUGUAUGUUUUCCUUUGAAGAUUUUAACAUUCAAUAGAAAAAUCAUAGAAACAAAAUCCUAAAUCUUUCAGACUUACCCGGUUUCACUCCCGUACAGUAUCAGAGACACAGAAUGAAUGUCACUCCAUAUUUUGCACAUGCAUUUCCACAUUAACUCAUCCUCAGAUGCUCACACUGCUACUACAACGGCUGCAAAGAUUGCCUGAAACACUGAACAUCUCAUUCCUUUCACUCAAUGAAAGAUUAAGCCCUAAAUCUGUUGAGGUUGUUUAAGCUGUGAAGAUUGGUAGGUGCACAGAAUGUUGCAGAAUGUAAUGAAUAUUUUGCCCCCAGAACACUCUACGCAAAGAAGUUGCAUUUCACUGUGUGUUUCAAUGUAUAUGUGACGAAUAAAGAAAUCAUCAAAA
This is an RNA transcript of Pristis pectinata (smalltooth sawfish), 3248 nucleotides long. It is a transcript of the gene named UBA domain containing 2, with no coding region annotated. The transcript is spliced from 11 exons. The record is from RefSeq and is a predicted model, not a curated record. Lineage: Eukaryota; Metazoa; Chordata; Chondrichthyes; Rhinopristiformes; Pristidae.